GUUGCACUCCGUCUCUCUGGCCACUUUGUGCGUUCCCACCUGACAGGCCACACUUCUCCGGCGCACGCCCCGGCCACAGGACACAGAACACUAAGAAGACAGACUGUGGGCUCGUCCUAUGUGCACUGUAGGAACUUUGGCAGCAUCCCUGGACUCUACCCACUAGAUGUCAGUAGCAUUUCUCUGCUCAGCCAAGUUGUGACAACCAGCACGGUCUCCAGGCAUUGCCAAGUGUCCCAAGAGGUACAAAAUCACCCCCGGUUAAGAGCUUACCUCUGUGAGGAUAAGCUCUCAUGCUCCCAGUCCACUGGGAAGGAGGUGAAAAAGGCAAGCCAGAAACUGAAAGAGCUCAGUGACUAUGAAAAGCUACUUUCCUGAAACUCACCCUUCAAAGAUGGAAAGAUCUCUUGGAAUUCAAGCUUCCACAAGGUGGCUGCCUGGAGUUUCCAUUUUUGCCUUCUCCUGCAAAGCAUCAAUCAAGCCCUGCCCUUUCAGAACACUGAACACAUAAACACUCUUUCUCCUUAACUGAACUUACUGCCAUGAUGAACUUGAACUCUGAGAUGCACAAGAGGAGAGUAUGUUUUAACAGCUGCUUUUAAACUGCAGCCCUGGAGUUACUACUUCCAAGACAGCUGGUUCUGAUAAGCCUCUGUUAAGCCCUGUUCUCUCUAAUGCCCAGCUGUCAGGGAACACCCCUGAAGUGUUCCAAAACAAAAGCACAGAAGAGAAACAGGGCAAGGGAAUGGUACUCAAUGGAUGCAAAGGCAUCCUACACAGGGGCCCCUCAUGUGCUGACAUAGUUUUUCUCCCCAGUUUAUUUUUAUAAGUUUGUUGAUUCUUGGCUAGUUGAGUAACAACUGCUAACGAUGUUGUGUUGCCUGAGGUUGCCCUGUCCAUCAGCCACAGGUAGCUGUUUAAAUUUAUAGAGUAAUUAAAAUUAAAUAUAGUUUAAAAUGCAGUAUCUCUGUUGCACUCAGUCAUACUUCAACCACUCAGUAUUAGUCACGUGUAGCUUCCAUAGUGGAAAGCAAAGAGGAAGGACAUUUCCAUCAUUGUAGAAAGUUACUAGAAGGCAUUGGCCAAGGCAUAACCUCUUUCUAACAGGAGAAAGGGGAUGCAGGUCUGGCUAAGAAUGGCUUUGUAGGCUCAGCCCAUAUUAUCUCCAAUACUACUUCCUGCACAUUCUUUUCUUGGCUGCCAACGUUCUACUUUAUAAAUUUCUGGAAAGGGAAGUUGUGGUCGCUAAAACCAUCCAUGAAACACUUUAGAGGAAGCAAAACGAGAGACAAAGUGGUGGUGUGGCAAUCACACAUUACAGAUUUUUUUUUUAUUGGUACCCAUUAAAUGACAAAAGGCGGAAUAUACCUCAGCCACAACUCCCCACAUUUGUGGGAAGGAGGCUGAAGAUCCCAGCAGGGAGAGGCAGAAAUGCAGUCCCCCCACUCAGACCACUGAACUCCAAUCUGCAUUCUAACAUAAAGGUGAAGAGAAGCACAUUGAUAGGAGGUUGUUAAAGAUUCCGUGCUAGCAGCAAUGGAGCACUGGUCACUGAAAAUGCCUGGGGAAUUGCACAUUUAAAAGGAAAGACAGGAUGGACAAUUUACUGAACAAGGAUCAUAAGCAGUUGGGAAGAUACAUGCAUGCCCUAAGAGCACUUUGCAUUUGUAUUUUUAUGGUUGCAGUGAGACUACUGGUGAGCAUAGGAGGAAGGUCAUUUUUAAUAACAUGCGCAGUUAGUUUUGUUUGUUUAAUACCAAGUUUUCUUUCCCCACUAGAAUGAAGAGCUCUGAUUUGGUCAUUGCUGCAUUCCAGCAGUUAGAGCAGUACCUGGCUCACAGGAGGCACUUAAGAAGUAUUUGCUGAAAAAUUCGUCAUUUUUUUUUUUUUAAAGGAAGAGUUCAAAGUUUUUUACCCCAUGAUAUAAAUCUUCCUCAACUGCCUUUACUAAUCAGGAUUCCCUCCCAGACAAUUAGACUUUGGUCUCAGCCUCAACCUCCCACUCCGCAUUCCAAACUUUCCAUUCCUUAGGGAUACCAGAGGGCGACGCGAUGACGUGGGUCAGUGAGGGACCUGCACUCCUCCUCAGGGUCUAAUAACCCUCCUACCCCUGCUUCCCCAACCUCCGGACCUCUUAAACUGUAAGAAUAGAAAUCUGUCAAGCUGUCAUGAAAUAUCAGCUAUCAGAAAGCAGAAACUGAGUCUGAUAAGCAUGCAAUCGCUGUAAAUACUAAAUUAAUUAAUUAAUUAAUGCCAGCUAAAUCUGAUCUCCAAUGAAACAGAUGCAGGCCAGUGUUUUGCUUGCUUUGAACACGUUUAAGAUGCAUGAUUUACAGAGUUUUAAUCUACAUUGAAUUUAGGUGAACUUUAUAAUUUCAUAUUUUGUCAUGUUUUGAUUUUAAAAAACUCUUAUUUUUUAUACACCAUAUUGAUAGAGCCAAAUAAUGUGUUUCUCAUUUCCUUUUUGAAAAGGCACUAGCAGCAUGUAUGUCUUUGUUAGCAAAAAAUCUUAAAAAAUGCAUAUGCAUUUAAUGUGAUAUCCCUUACAGUCAGAAUGUUUAUAUCAUUGUCCUCAUUUGGCUAAUGUGAUACCUUUAAAAUGAAAGAGAUAGAUAUUUUGCCAUUCUCUAAACAUAACCAGUUGUUUGAAGUGUUCAUAACUACUGGUUAUAGAAUUAACCAACAACCCUAAUCACUUUGGAUUUUGUGUUGUUGGAGCCAAAUGCACGUCGGUAUUAGCUAAAUGAAAUUGAAGUCACAUGCUGCUUGAGUUCUAAGUGUACCCUUUAUGGAAUAUAAAAUAGGAGUGUAAAAAAUUCAUACUGAACAUGGAUUAUUUCUUUCUAUCAAAAUAAGCAGGAUUAAUAUAGUCGGUAUAUUGACACUAAACUUGUCUGACUAAACUAGAUUAUCACACAGUCGAAUCGAUUCAUAAAAACACCUCCCUCAUGGUGUAACAUGGGUGCUAAAUGUGAUGGGCAUUUGUUUACCUUGUCUUGGGACACAGUAAAUACUCGGUAAAAAUUAGCUAUCCAUCAUCAUCUGCUUUGGAGAAGUUACCUUAUUCAGUGCCUUACAAAUAAACCUCAGACUCAUAUGGGGACUCUCUUAUUUUGGUCCUUUCACACUCAAUUAUUCUAAUAAACUGCAUUGCAAAAUGAAGCUUCCGUAGGGGAAUGUAGGACCAAUAGGCACUUGGGGUCAUCUUUAUAACAUUUUUUGGAAAGUGUAGCCUCUUUGAAAACUUCUAAGUUUAUUGUUAGAGUAUUUUCUUUAACAGGAAAUGUUUUCUGAAAUGUAUUGCAGGUGAACAAGUAACAAAAUUGACAAAUGCUGUAAGUCAUUUACAGUUAUCUGAACACAAAGAAUAGGGCUGAUCACAUUUUUGCACAUUAGCUUAGCUUUUUCCUGCACCUAGAUUCUCUAAUAUGUUCAGGACCAUUUCUUCUAAUUCUUUGUUUGGUCUUCUAGCUAUGUUUUACCAUUAUCCACAAAUUCAAUAAAUGGAGCAUUCAUAUUUCAUAGUGGAGAUUCAAUGAAUCAGAACAGCAGUAUUAGAAAAGAAAAAAAACAAAUGUUAAGCCUCAUAAAUUUUUGUUUAUAUCACUAAGCAUCAUUUCCAAUUCAGAAAUAUUUUUUAAAGUAUCCCUUUAAAUUACAUAUUUUAAACGACUGAAUUACAUAAAGCUUGCCACUUGGCUACUCAGAUUUGGGAGAGGGACGGUACAGGUUGGAGGGGAUUUACAAAAUUAAAAGCAUAUCUUUUUAAACCCAAAAGAAACCUAUACAUGCAUUUCUAAUCCACAUAGCCUAUAUGCCUUUACAGUCUGCUGAUAAACACUAAUUUUAAAACAUUGUAUAUAACAUUAAAUAACAUGGAAAAAAUAAAUAUGUUUUAUUAUAUAAACACAUAGAAAUCUGUACUGGUAAAAAUAUUCAGAUAAUACUAGGCUUGGCUGCUUAAAGCUGUAUUCAGAAAAGAUGGCAGUGAUAUUUACAUGUUUUAUUUUUGCUAGAAAUAGAUGUAGUGAGGUGAUAAAAUACUGAUGACAGACAUUUGCUCUUCCUACCUACAGAAGUUGCAAACUUUAAUGUGAAAAUGAGGUAGACACAAAUUUAUAAGUUGGCCAGGCAGAAAGAAAAGCACAGUUCCUCUGUGAACUCAUAAAUUCUUAUUAUUUGGGUUGACAAGCAUUAUACCAAAGCACCUAAAGUAAGGCUCAGAGAACACUUUUAACUUUUGGGUUUGUCAUGAAGAACUCAAAAAAACACAAUUUCUCCUAAGGAGAAUCACCGAUGAUGGGCGGCAACGCAAACAGGAAUGUUACAGGGCCAUCUUGGAUAGGUCACACUACAUAGAAACCUUUUUACUCUCAUCUUCUCCAUGAAUCAGCUUACUGUAGAAUGCUGUGGAUUUUUAAUCUACCUUUUGCAGUGGUUUGCAGUUUAGAGCUUUCUCUCCAAUUUAUGCCUCCAGACAUGGGACACAUGCAUCUACUUCCCAGUCUGCUCCUGGCUGCCUGCAGGACCUGACUGCAAAGCAGAUCACUGUGAGAACCUUAUUUUGAAAAGAAAAUGUUACCGAGUAAGAGUACAAGGGCACCUUAAAAAGAGGGAAGAAAAGGUUGAAUUUUUGGAGGGUGUUCUUCACAAUCAUGAUUCUAAGUCUGCAAUGACGUGAGCCAAAACUAAGGAUCUAAAAUGGGUACUUGAACUUUAUGUUCACCAAAGCUUCAUUUCAGACUCUGGAAGCCAUGCUAAAGCGAUGUAAUGAUUGCUGAGCCAGGCCGUCUCCACUGCGACCUUGGAAAAGGCCUACUCCCAGGGCCGCACUUGCACUUGCUCCGGGCACUAUCUCCUGUGAGGGAGUACUUGGGAGAGAAAGCAACCCACUGAAGGACUAAUUGCUAUCUUUGGUCUCUAAUAAAUCUAGUUUGUUUUCUGUUGAAUGAGACCUGUUAGCACCUCAAAUACACUUUUUGUUGCUCUGAAUUUCACUGUCAGUUACAAUGAUGAAGCACCAUAGAAGUGGCUUUAUGGCUAUUAAAACAACUCACUGAGGUAUGCUUAAAUUUAGAGAUUGUACCAAAGCAUCCACAAAAAUCAACAUAAAAGUGAUAAAAGUGAAAUCAAAACCGCACAGGAAGAAUCUGAAAGACUGCCCUCAUACACAUGUAUUUUAAGUAAUAUAUUAAUUACCAAUAUAUCUAUUUAAAUAAAAUGAUUUUAAUGUAAUUUUUAAAAAAUCACAAUUAAAAGCCUUGCAGAGUGGCCUUGCUCCUAGACUGCAGAGGCAUUUAAAUAUAUACUUGAGUAAUGACCACUUUGCAAAGGAAGCAUUAUAAUCAUAUAGGCAGCAGACACAUUUUUCAAAUCCACGUGUUUGCUUCUGUGCAUAACAGAGCAUUAGAAUCUUUCUUUCUCUAAGUGUUUCAGAAAACUGUGUACAGGCCUAAGGAGCACAAUAAAAACAGAACAACAACAACAAAAACAACCCUUAAAGUCAUCAGUUAAAUUAAUAAGCAGAUUAUAUUUUAAAAUGUAAGUGUUUAGCCUCUUAAAAUACCUGUGGGAGAGGGUAGUGACCCUCUGUAAAAUAUCUGAGCUUUAUUUAGAAAGCCUUCAAGGAAGGGAAUGCUUUGAAAACUUAUAUAUAUAUAAAAUAGUGUGUAUAUUGUAUAUUAUUAUACCACAAUACAUUAUAUUAUCAUUAUAUUACAUAUACACACACAGAAUACCCUCGGAGGGUUAAGAGACGUUUUUGGUCAAAAUUUAAAAGGCACAGCUUUUUAGAAAGCUAGACUUUUUGAAACAUAACGUGCGUGCUGUAGUGGUUGGUGAAUGAAUGGGGUGAAAAUAUAAUGGGCUCAAGAGGAAAAUUUCAAGAAAAAUAGUAUGUAAUAGGUGACUCAGGGGAGUUGGGAAUGUCAGGACUAUCCUGACAUUCUCAGGUAAUAUGAUAUUUUUCAAAAUGUUCAUUUGGGGAGGGCGCCAGUAUAGCAGACAAAAUGUUCCAGGUGAACCAAACAUCUGACUCAGAGUGGCAUUUCUUAAGCUCUUGAAUAAGAUCCUUACCGCACAGCUACAUAGUACUAGUUGAGAUGAUAACUCUGAAUUCUUCUAGAUUCCUACUUCCUACAAAGUACAGUGGCUCUAGAGCCAGUGAUCUACCUGCAGACACAGUCUGAGACUGAAACCCUCAGUCUUACAAGCACCAACAGGUAUUUAGCCGUGUCACUUCAGUUAAUCUGCUGUUUAUCAGGUUUCAGAAACGUUUAAGACUUUUCCUCAUAAAUUCUAUGAAAUAAAAAGGUUUCUGGAUAUGACUGAAUAUAAUACUAAAUUCAGCUUCAGUGCAAUUAAUGUAUUUACAGGGACGUUUACUCUAUCUACAUAAACAGCCCUAAGGGCCCCACAGCUUACCGCACAACUUAGCCAAACUAUUGUUUUGACAUAAGGCAUCCUUGUGUUUGUCAAGAGCUGCCCCAGAAGUUUGCAUAGCAGUUACAGGAGCAAACCUGUCUCACAAUGCCAGCUAAGCAGACAGCAAAGGGAGCCUAGGACCAGAGCAAACAGGAGUCCCAAAUGAGCCUCGCAUCUCAGGAGGAGAGAGAGGACAUUUCAGAGACCUUGAAAGGCACCACGUCACUGAGUCCACAGUUGGUCCUUCACAUUUGCAAAGUGAUUUCAGUCUACAUUGUAGGUGCAGCCUCAUGGUGAUUGUGUUGAAAGCUGUACCCAAGUCACACAAGCAAAUUAUAGUCACCGAAAUAAAAAUUGCUUUGGCCUCAAUAAGCAGGUAUCUUCCCAGAAAAGUCAAAACUACCAUAGCUUAGAAAUGGAAAGAAUGCCUGCUAUUGAAUUGUCUGCUUAAGUCACUUUGGAGCUUAACAACUGCAUGAAGUUAUUUCGUUUCUUUAAUUAUCUAUCUAUAUCUAUAUCUUCAUCUACAUAGUCUAGUUCUCCUAAGCAAGGAAGUUACUUCUUGGCACUGGCACCAGGCCUCUUUGAGGUACAUGUAUUCUGUAAAGUCACUUUGGCAACACCAUAAAAAAUUAAUUCUGUUGUAUAUUAAAAUGAAAAAAAAAACACCCAAUAGAUUGCUUAUAGCACAGUUUCAGGGCUGCCCAAUUAUCUGUUGCACAGGACUGCCCCAGAAUGCCUUGGAACUGGCAUGUCAGUUAGCUAGUCUGGUUAGCAAACA
Manis pentadactyla (Chinese pangolin) is the source of this 7204-nucleotide long non-coding RNA. RefSeq lists it as uncharacterized. The transcript is spliced from 4 exons. Lineage: Eukaryota; Metazoa; Chordata; Mammalia; Pholidota; Manidae. The record is from RefSeq and is a predicted model, not a curated record.